CGCAGGCGGUCUGUCAAGUCGGAUGUGAAAUCCCCGGGCUCAACCUGGGAACUGCAUUCGAAACUGGCAGGCUUGAGUCUUGUAGAGGGGGGUAGAAUUCCAGGUGUAGCGGUGAAAUGCGUAGAGAUCUGGAGGAAUACCGGUGGCGAAGGCGGCCCCCUGGACAAAGACUGACGCUCAGGUGCGAAAGCGUGGGGAGCAAACAGGAUUAGAUACCCUGGUAGUCCACGCCGUAAACGAUGUCUACUUGGAGGUUGUGCCCUUGAGGCGUGGCUUCCGGAGCUAACGCGUUAAGUAGACCGCCUGGGGAGUACGGCCGCAAGGUUAAAACUCAAAUGAAUUGACGGGGGCCCGCACAAGCGGUGGAGCAUGUGGUUUAAUUCGAUGCAACGCGAAGAACCUUACCUGGUCUUGACAUCCACAGAACUUUCCAGAGAUGGAUUGGUGCCUUCGGGAACUGUGAGACAGGUGCUGCAUGGCUGUCGUCAGCUCGUGUUGUGAAAUGUUGGGUUAAGUCCCGCAACGAGCGCAAC
RNAcentral lists this ribosomal RNA (533 nucleotides) under Salmonella enterica. Its description in RNAcentral is "bacterial SSU rRNA". It matches the Rfam family "Bacterial small subunit ribosomal RNA", at positions 570 to 1102 of the family's 1533-position model. RNAcentral also lists the same sequence under 1 other name. The record is from RNAcentral. Lineage: Bacteria; Pseudomonadati; Pseudomonadota; Gammaproteobacteria; Enterobacterales; Enterobacteriaceae.